RNAcentral lists this ribosomal RNA (460 nucleotides) under uncultured bacterium. Its description in RNAcentral is "partial 16S ribosomal RNA". It matches the Rfam family "Bacterial small subunit ribosomal RNA", at positions 338 to 795 of the family's 1533-position model. The record is from RNAcentral.
CCUACGGGUGGCAGCAGUGAGGAAUAUUGGUCAAUGGGCUUACGCCUGAACCAGCCAAGUCGCGUGAGGGAAGACUGCCCUAUGGGUUGUAAACCUCUUUUGUCAGGGAGCAAUUGGCGCUACGUGUAGCGUUAUCAAGAGUACCUGAAGAAAAAGCAUCGGCUAACUCCGUGCCAGCAGCCGCGGUAAUACGGAGGAUGCGAGCGUUAUCCGGAUGUAUUGGGUUUAAAGGGUGCGUAGGUGGAAUGCCAAGUCAGCGGUAAAAUCGCGGGGCUCAACCUCGCUCCGCCGUUGAAACUGGCGUUCUUGAGGGGGCGAGAGGUAGGUGGAACGCGGGGUGUAGCGGUGAAAUGCAUAGAUAUCACGAAGAACUCCGAUUGCGAAGGCAGCAUACCGGCGCCCAACUGACGCUGAAGCACGAAAGCGUGGGGAUCGAACAGGAUUAGAUACCCUUGUAGUC